UACGAGGGGAGCAAGCGUUGUUCGGAUUUACUGGGCGUAAAGGGCGCGUAGGCGGCUCAACAAGUCACUUGUGAAAUCUCCGGGCUUAACUCGGAACGGUCAAGUGAUACUGUCGAGCUAGAGUACAGAAGGGGCAACUGGAAUUCUCGGUGUAGCGGUGAAAUGCGUAGAUAUCGAGAGGAACACCUGCGGCGAAGGCGGGUUGCUGGGCUGAUACUGACGCUGAGGCGCGAAAGCCAGGGGAGCGAACGGG
This 253-nucleotide ribosomal RNA is filed under the name uncultured bacterium. RNAcentral's name for it is "partial 16S ribosomal RNA". It matches the Rfam family "Bacterial small subunit ribosomal RNA", at positions 524 to 776 of the family's 1533-position model. The record is from RNAcentral.